GACGAACCGUGCGAACGUUAUUCGGAAUCACUGGGCUUAAAGGGUGCGUAGGCGGGCAGGUAAGUCAGUGGUGAAAUCUCCGGGCUUAACCCGGAAACUGCCGUUGAUACUAUCUGUCUUGAAUAUCGUGGAGGUAAGCGGAAUAUGUCAUGUAGCGGUGAAAUGCUUAGAUAUGACAUAGAACACCCAUUGCGAAGGCAGCUUACUACACGAUCAUUGACGCUGAGGCACGAAAGCGUGGGGAGCAAACAGG
RNAcentral lists this ribosomal RNA (253 nucleotides) under uncultured bacterium. Its description in RNAcentral is "partial 16S ribosomal RNA". It matches the Rfam family "Bacterial small subunit ribosomal RNA", at positions 524 to 776 of the family's 1533-position model. The record is from RNAcentral.